Molecule: ribosomal RNA, 497 nt
Filed under: uncultured bacterium
Lineage: Bacteria
Description: partial 16S ribosomal RNA
Rfam family: Bacterial small subunit ribosomal RNA
Source: RNAcentral
GAUGAACGCUGGCGGCGUGCCUAAUACAUGCGAGUCGAGCGAACAGACGAGGAGCUUGCUCCUCUGACGUUAGCGGCGGACGGGUGAGUAACACGUGGAUAACCUACCUAUAAGACGGGGAUAACUUCGGGAAACCGGAGCUAAUACCGGAUAAUAUAUUGAACCGCAUGGUUCAAUAGUGAAAGACGGUUUUGCUGUCACUUAUAGAUGGAUCCGCGCCGCAUUAGCUAGUUGGUAAGGUAACGGCUUACCAAGGCAACGAUGCGUAGCCGACCUGAGAGGGUGAUCGGCCACACUGGAACUGAGACACGGUCCAGACUCCUACGGGAGGCAGCAGUAGGGAAUCUUCCGCAAUGGGCGAAAGCCUGACGGAGCAACGCCGCGUGAGUGAUGAAGGUCUUCGGAUCGUAAAACUCUGUUAUUAGGGAAGAACAAAUGUGUAAGUAACUAUGCACGUCUUGACGGUACCUAAUCAGAAAGCCACGGCUAACUACGUG